CAGUCGCCGCGGGAAUACAGAGGGUGCGAGCGUUAAUCGGAUUUACUGGGCGUAAAGCGUGCGUAGGCGGCCUUUUAAGUCGGAUGAGAAAUCCCUGAGCUUAACUUAGGAAUUGCAUUCGAUACUGGGAAGCUAGAGUAUGGGAGAGGAUGGUAGAAUUCCAGGUGUAGCGGUGAAAUGCGUAGAGAUCUGGAGGAAUACCGAUGGCGAAGGCAGCCAUCUGGCCUAAUACUGACGCUGAGGUACGAAAGCAUGGGGAGCAAACAGGAUUAGAUACCCGCGUAGUCCCUGUCUCUUAUAC
This 301-nucleotide ribosomal RNA is filed under the name uncultured bacterium. RNAcentral describes it as "partial 16S ribosomal RNA". It matches the Rfam family "Bacterial small subunit ribosomal RNA", at positions 509 to 807 of the family's 1533-position model. The record is from RNAcentral.